AUACGGAGGGUGCAAGCGUUAUUCGGAAUCACUGGGCGUAAAGGACGCGUAGGCGGGUUGGAAAGUCAGAUGAGAAAUCCUACAGCUUAACUGUAGAACUGCAUUUGAAACUUCUGAUCUAGAGUAUGGGAGGGGGAGAUGGAAUUAGUGGUGUAGGGGUAAAAUCCGUAGAUAUCACUAGGAAUACCGAAAGCGAAGGCGAUCUCCUGGAACAUAACUGACGCUAAGGCGUGAAAGCGUGGGGAGCAAACAGGAUUAGAAACCCUAGUAGUCC
RNAcentral lists this ribosomal RNA (274 nucleotides) under uncultured bacterium. RNAcentral's name for it is "partial 16S ribosomal RNA". It matches the Rfam family "Bacterial small subunit ribosomal RNA", at positions 523 to 796 of the family's 1533-position model. The record is from RNAcentral.